Podarcis lilfordi (Lilford's wall lizard) is the source of this 69-nucleotide non-coding RNA. Lineage: Eukaryota; Metazoa; Chordata; Lepidosauria; Squamata; Lacertidae. The record is from the annotation of a GenBank genome assembly.
GUCGUAGCUCAGUGCUAGAGCAGCUGCCUUGCAUGCAGAAGGUCCCAGGUUCCAUUCUUGCCAUCUCCA